This 188-nucleotide non-coding RNA is filed under the name Halothermothrix orenii. The record is from RNAcentral. RNAcentral also lists the same sequence under 1 other name. Lineage: Bacteria; Bacillati; Bacillota; Clostridia; Halanaerobiales; Halothermotrichaceae.
GAAUACGGUAAAUAAACAGGUGCCUCCGGUCAAGGCCGGGGGAGAAUAGGGAAUCAGGUGAAAAUCCUGAACGGGCCCGCCACUGUGAUCAGGGAGUGGAACCAGGUUUAUAUCCACCCAUAAAGGGGAAGGAUUUAGUUCCAUGAUGAUCUGAGAGUCAGGAGACCUGCCUGUUUAUUUUACCUGCA